Molecule: long non-coding RNA, 623 nt
Organism: Bubalus bubalis (water buffalo)
Lineage: Eukaryota; Metazoa; Chordata; Mammalia; Artiodactyla; Bovidae
Exons: 3
Source: RefSeq, a predicted model, not a curated record
UUGACUGAUUGCUUUCUUCAGUCGUUAGGGGAAAAAGCUUCAAAUUUAGAAGAUUUAACUGAAGUGGGUAGUAAUGAAAAUGCUGUUUCCUGAGGAUUUGGAAACAUUCUAAACAUUCUGUUAUCAGCUCUCAGAGAGUCUACAGAGUGGACCAGAAGCACUGCCAACCCCAGGAGGUGUGUGGACCUUCAUCAUCCUACCUUUGAACUUCCCCUUCAGGGACAGUCUCCUGACACGACCUUCAUAGAUCCGACGAUGCCCAGCUGUGGGGCCUAUAAAUACCAGGUUUGAAUUUCAAGUGUUCUAUUUCAUACCAGAAGUUGAAAUAAACGAAUGACUGCUUUCGUGAUGGAAUCCACUCUGCAUUCUCCCUUCUGAUCCUGAAAUCCCCUCUAUAGCUCUUUGAAGAGGUGGUCUCUUCUUCAGGUGGGCUUGAAUUCUUCUAGUGACAGAGAAUUUAUUACCUCAUUAUUUGCCACAGUUUAGUGAGUUACUGUUUACCUUCUUGUACUCCUGUUGUUGUUUAGUCACUAAGUCGUGUCCAGCUCUUUGAGACCCCACGGACUGUAGCCCGCCAAGUUCCUCUGUCCUUGGGAUUUCCCAGGCAAGAAUACUGGAGUGGG